Molecule: transfer RNA, 31 nt
Filed under: Artemisia marschalliana
Lineage: Eukaryota; Viridiplantae; Streptophyta; Magnoliopsida; Asterales; Asteraceae
Description: partial tRNA-His
Source: RNAcentral
AGUGGAUCAAGGCAGUGGUCGCCCCCAAUGG